This 497-nucleotide ribosomal RNA is filed under the name uncultured bacterium. RNAcentral describes it as "partial 16S ribosomal RNA". It matches the Rfam family "Bacterial small subunit ribosomal RNA", at positions 28 to 507 of the family's 1533-position model. The record is from RNAcentral.
GAUGAACGCUGGCGGCGUGCCUAAUACAUGCAAGUCGAGCGAACGGACGAGAAGCUUGCUUCUCUGAUGUUAGCGGCGGACGGGUGAGUAACACGUGGAUAACCUACCUAUAAGACUGGGAUAACUUCGGGAAACCGGAGCUAAUACCGGAUAAUAUUUUGAACCGCAUGGUUCAAAAGUGAAAGACGGUCUUGCUGUCACUUAUAGAUGGAUCCGCGCUGCAUUAGCUAGUUGGUAAGGUAACGGCUUACCAAGGCAACGAUGCAUAGCCGACCUGAGAGGGUGAUCAGCCACACUGGAACUGAGACACGGUCCAGACUCCUACGGGAGGCAGCAGUAGGGAAUCUUCCGCAAUGGGCGAAAGCCUGACGGAGCAACGCCGCGUGAGUGAUGAAGGUCUUCGGAUCGUAAAACUCUGUUAUUAGGGAAGAACAUAUGUGUAAGUAACUGUGCACAUCUUGACGGUACCUAAUGAGAAAGCAACGGCUAACUACGUG